UCAAUAAAUAUAGUCCAUGGCCUCCCGGCUUUGACGGAACCCCCCCGCACUCGUGCGGCAAUUGUAACUUGUGUCAUACAUGUCGAACAGCAUUUGAUUUAAGGAGAUGGCUCGGAGAAACCCAGGAGCUGUUGGAACGAUGGCACAGAAACCCUGGCGCAGAGGACGUGGAGUUAAUGUGACGUGCAAUGGAUAUCGUGUACUUGUGCUCCACUGGGAAUUGCUUUACACAUCAUCACGGCUGCUUCGGUGUCUGGCAACGCCAUUUCGCAAAGCGCAGGAAUGGAAUGCGGGUUUGGUGUUUGAUGCUAUCCCUGUUAAUCUGUGGAGAUGUCUGAAUUAGCCGGGGG
This 350-nucleotide long non-coding RNA is filed under the name Volvox carteri. Its description in RNAcentral is "long non-coding RNA (VCAR_LNC003955)". Lineage: Eukaryota; Viridiplantae; Chlorophyta; Chlorophyceae; Chlamydomonadales; Volvocaceae. The record is from RNAcentral.